CUGGGACCCUAGUCGUAGCAUACGGUUACCGUACACAGGUGGUGCAUGGUUGUCGUCAGCUCGUGCCGUGAGGUGUAAGGUUAAGUCCUUGAACGAGCGCAACCCACGUGGUUAUUUGCUCUUGGUCGCAAGGCCAAGCACUAUAACCAAACCGCUACCGACGAGGUAGAGGAAGGUGUGGAUGACGUCAAAUCAUCACGCCCCUUAUGUCCAGGGCUACACACAUGCGACAAUGGUUGGAACAAUGAGUUGCAAACCAGUAAUGGCAAGCUAAUCUCCAACACCAGCCCCAGUACGGAUCGAGGGUUGAAACUCACCCUCGUGAAGAUGGAGUUGCUAGUAAACGCAAGUCAGCCAUAUUGCGUUGAAUACGUUCCCGGGCCUU
Molecule: ribosomal RNA, 385 nt
Filed under: uncultured Caldisericales bacterium
Lineage: Bacteria; Pseudomonadati; Caldisericota; Caldisericia; Caldisericales
Description: bacterial SSU rRNA
Rfam family: Bacterial small subunit ribosomal RNA
Source: RNAcentral